UGCAGUCGAGCGGAUGACGGGAGCUUGCUCCUUGAUUCAGCGGCGGACGGGUGAGUAAUACCUAGGAAUCUGCCUGGUAGUGGGGGACAACGUUUCGAAAGGAACGCUAAUACCGCAUACGUCCUACGGGAGAAAGCAGGGGACCUUCGGGCCUUGCGCUAUCAGAUGAGCCUAGGUCGGAUUAGCUAGUUGGUGAGGUAAUGGCUCACCAAGGCUACGAUCCGUAACUGGUCUGAGAGGAUGAUCAGUCACACUGGAACUGAGACACGGUCCAGACUCCUACGGGAGGCAGCAGUGGGGAAUAUUGGACAAUGGGCGAAAGCCUGAUCCAGCCAUGCCGCGUGUGUGAAGAAGGUCUUCGGAUUGUAAAGCACUUUAAGUUGGGAGGAAGGGCAUUAACCUAAUACGUUAGUGUUUUGACGUUACCGACAGAAUAAGCACCGGCUAACUCUGUGCCAGCAGCCGCGGUAAUACAGAGGGUGCAAGCGUUAAUCGGAAUUACUGGGCGUAAAGCGCGCGUAGGUGGUUCGUUAAGUUGGAUGUGAAAUCCCCGGGCUCAACCUGGGAACUGCAUCCAAAACUGGCGAGCUAGAGUAGGGCAGAGGGUGGUGGAAUUUCCUGUGUAGCGGUGAAAUGCGUAGAUAUAGGAAGGAACACCAGUGGCGAAGGCGACCACCUGGGCUCAUACUGACACUGAGGUGCGAAAGCGUGGGGAGCAAACAGGAUUAGAUACCCUGGUAGUCCACGCCGUAAACGAUGUCAACUAGCCGUUGGAAUCCUUGAGAUUUUAGUGGCGCAGCUAACGCAUUAAGUUGACCGCCUGGGGAGUACGGCCGCAAGGUUAAAACUCAAAUGAAUUUGACGGGGGCCCGCACAAGCGGUGGAGCAUGUGGUUUAAUUCCAAACAACCGCGAAGAACCUUACCAGGCCUUGACAUCCAAUGAACUUUCCAAAAAUUGGAUUGGGGGCCUUCCGGGAACAUUUGAAACAAGUGGCUGCUUGGCUUGC
This 1008-nucleotide ribosomal RNA is filed under the name Pseudomonas plecoglossicida. RNAcentral's name for it is "bacterial SSU rRNA". It matches the Rfam family "Bacterial small subunit ribosomal RNA", at positions 56 to 1053 of the family's 1533-position model. Lineage: Bacteria; Pseudomonadati; Pseudomonadota; Gammaproteobacteria; Pseudomonadales; Pseudomonadaceae. The record is from RNAcentral.